AGCAGUGUAGCGUAGUGGUAAGGUGCAGGGCUCGUAACCGAAAGGUUACCGUUUCGAUUUCUCUGCUG
Molecule: non-coding RNA, 68 nt
Organism: Megalops atlanticus (tarpon)
Lineage: Eukaryota; Metazoa; Chordata; Actinopteri; Elopiformes; Megalopidae
Source: the annotation of a GenBank genome assembly